Molecule: ribosomal RNA, 492 nt
Filed under: uncultured bacterium
Lineage: Bacteria
Description: partial 16S ribosomal RNA
Rfam family: Bacterial small subunit ribosomal RNA
Source: RNAcentral
AGUGAACGCUGGCGGUAGGCCUAACACAUGCAAGUCGAACGGCAGCACAGUAAGAGCUUGCUCUUACGGGUGGCGAGUGGCGGACGGGUGAGGAAUACAUCGGAAUCUACUUUUUCGUGGGGGAUAACGUAGGGAAACUUACGCUAAUACCGCAUACGACCUACGGGUGAAAGCAGGGGAUCUUCGGACCUUGCGCGAUUGAAUGAGCCGAUGUCGGAUUAGCUAGUUGGCGGGGUAAAGGCCCACCAAGGCGACGAUACGUAGCUGGUCUGAGAGGAUGAUCAGCCACACUGGAACUGAGACACGGUCCAGACUCCUACGGGAGGCAGCAGUGGGGAAUAUUAGACAAUGGGCGCAAGCCUGAUCCAGCCAUACCGCGUGGGUGAAGAAGGCCUUCGGGUUGUAAAGCCCUUUUGUUGGGAAAGAAAAGCAGCAGGUUAAUACCCCGCUGUUCUGACGGUACCCAAAGAAUAAGCACCGGCUAACUUCGUG